UUGUGCUGCCUUUCAUUGGUUUUGUCUGAUCUUGGAAGCAAAGCAAAGUCAGGAUCGGUUAGUACUUGGAUGGGAGGCCACCUGGGAAUACCAAGUGCUGUAGGCU
Molecule: ribosomal RNA, 106 nt
Filed under: Salvator merianae (Argentine black and white tegu)
Lineage: Eukaryota; Metazoa; Chordata; Lepidosauria; Squamata; Teiidae
Source: RNAcentral